Molecule: non-coding RNA, 2597 nt
Organism: Nothobranchius furzeri (turquoise killifish)
Lineage: Eukaryota; Metazoa; Chordata; Actinopteri; Cyprinodontiformes; Nothobranchiidae
Source: RefSeq, a predicted model, not a curated record
CCCUCCUUUUGACCUUCCUAAAAACUAUUUUAGAAUUUGUUUGUCCACCUGUUCCUGCCCUUCUGGCAGUUAACCUGCUCUGCCCUCCUGAUUCCUCCAGGUUCCAGUCAUCUGUUCAUCUCCACUCUCUGCUAUAUCUCCGGAACCAUCUACCACAUUCCAGUCCUGCUGUUUGCCCCUGAUCGCCAGCUCUCCGUCACCCACCUAUCCACCUGCAGCUCCUCAGUCUCCCCAUCCAGCCAGGUCUGACUAACCCCCCACAAAUUACCGGAUCAUCCAGGAAACAACCCCACGGAUCCCUCCAGUCCUGCAGAAGCUUCGGCUACCUCUCCCAUACAAAAUAAAUCAUUUAAACUUACCUUCUGUCUCUCGGUGGUGUCGUGGGUCAAGAAAUUACCCUCAAACAUGACAUUGACAGAAGAAGCUACAAUGAUGUUCUGCUGAGCUGUGGUGGCCUCAUGGAGGGGGCCAUUGACUUGACCACUGCUGCCAACCACUUAAACAUUCCCCCUCUCCUGAUAACAUUUUACUUUCUUUGACAUGAAAUGUGCUACUACAUGUUCACCCAUUGACUUAAUUUUAAAUUCAUUAAGAUAAAGACAGUAAAGUUUAUCUCUUACUAAUUACAAUAUUUACUAAGAAAUCACAAUGUAAACACUACUUGGUACAUAGGUUGUGUGUGUGAGUGGGUGUGUGCAUGUGUCUGCUCUGUCUUCUCGAUCCCCAGUGAGUUUUGGUGGAUGGCUGCUUAUACUGAGCCAGGAUCCUCUGGAGGUUUCUUCCCGUUAAAAGAGAGUUUUCCUCUCCACUGUCACCACAUGCUUGCUUACUAUGAGGAAUGGCUUAAUUAACUGAACUGUAUUUGAAUGUUUAAGUGCCUUGCGACGACUCUUGUUGUGAUUUGGUGCUAUAUAAAUAAACUUGAAUUGAAUGCUAGAUAAACAAGUACCUUCACCAGAACACAUUUUAAUUCUUAGGGGGGUUUGGGGUCCAUUCUACAGUUAACAAAACACUCUAAAAUGCUGAAAAAUCACAACAACAACAAAAAAACCUCAAAAGCCUGUAUGGUCUUCAUAUCAAACCAGCAUCAUAAACACAAGCUUUUUCAUGUGUAAAAUAACCCAAAGCAAAUACAGUUGAUAUAACGUACUGCUUUACACACACAAACAUAAACGAAGCUAGAUGUAGUGGUGCUACGACAAAAGUGUGUGAGAACUGAUUGGUCAGAUAAAGCUGAUACCGAUUGUGGAGACUGAGUGCUCAGCUGCCUCAAGCAGCAGAUAACAUAUCUGCCAUAAUCGCACAAGGAAAAAAUGGUCUCUACAGUAGAUGCAGGCAGUUGGGUAACUUAAACAAGUGAUCUGUUCUAAUUCUGUCUUCAAUAAAAAAAACUUCUCAUAUCAAGCCUCUGGAGAGUGACAUUUUCAUCUUCCCUGCUACAGUUUUCCUCAGAUGUCACUCUUGCACCACAAUUUUUAACCAACUCACUGACCCAACUUUUAAAGAGACAUUUCGGUCUGUGCACAUUUCCAACCUGUCACCUUUUCCCAACUGCUCGGCUGUAAACAUAAAGGGUGGUGGUGGAAGGGGGAGAACUCUUAUCCUAUCAGCCCAGUUCCAAUCUAGUCAAAUCAUUCCUGAGUUUGGCAUUCAACAUUAUUUCAAGGAUUCUCCAGCCACCUGUCUAGUUCCUUCUUCUUUUUUUCCCCCAUUUUAAAUUCUGCCCCUCACUGAGAAUUAUGUGAAGCAAGGCAUGCGUGUCAAAGGGAAAUUUAGUGGGUAAAGACAGCCAAGAUUGGUCGGAUGAAUUAAACAGAUAACAAGAGUAGACGAAGUGGGGGAACCAUGUAGAGCAAAGCUCCUCAUCAAUGUUGGUCAUUUCAGAGGGGCUUCUUUUUUUUUCUCUCCCCACAGGAGCGAGAAGGCAAUAUCUAAAUUAAUAAAGUGAUGAAAUGAGUUUGUGCUAUGGACUUUCUGCUUUUUGACUUUCCCAUCUGGAUUAGUGCAGGCUGAAUGGACGCUCUGUUACUUUUGUUACAACUACACAAUUUACUGUCGCAAUUUGGCCUUGCAGUGAUAAGGCUUCCCAUCUCCUGCUCAUUAACAUCUCAUUCCAUAUGCAGGGCCUCUGUUACCUGAGAGAUUGCUCAAACGCUAAACAUGAACUAUUACAAGGAGCACGGAACGUUUAAGCAGAGCUAAUACAUAAGGAUCAACUGGGUAACAGUUUUAUUUUUUAAUAAGUGCACUGAAAGAACAACCAGGAAUACAAUGUGACCUUUGAACAUUAUUCAAGUUUGGCUUUCAUCAAGUAAUUUGAUUUUUAUGGAUAAUUCAAUGUUCUUUUUUUCUUGUAACAGUAAUUCAAUUUAGUUUAUUUAUUUAGCACCAAAUUAAGGCACUUCAGAAAGUAAACAUUCCAAUACAGUUCAGUCAAUUAAGCCAAUCAGUAAAAAGUUUCCGAUUUAAGGACCCAGCAAAUUGCAUCAAGUCGCUGACUAGUGUCAGUGAUUUUAAAGCAAUCCUCAUACUAAGCAAGCAUGCAGCGACAGUGGAGAGGAAAACUCCCUUUUAACAGGAAGAAACCUCCAGAGGAU